AUUGAACGCUGGCGGCCGGCCUAACAAAUGAAAGUCGAGCGAAUCGGCGGACGGGCGAGUAAUGCCUAGUAAUCUGCCUGGUAGUGGGGGGUAACGUCCGGAAACGGGCGCUAAUACCGCAUACUAUCAAAUGAGCCUAUGUGGGAUUAGAUAGUUGGUGGGGUAAAGGCCUACCAAGUCGACGAUCCGUAACUGGGAUGAGAGGCUGAUCAGUAACACUGGAACUGAGACACGGUCCAGACUCCGACGGGAGGCAGCAGUGGGGAAUAUUGGACAAUGGGCGAAAGCGUGAUCCAGCCAUGCCGCGUGUGUGAAGAAGGUCUUCGGAUUGUAAAGCACUUGAAGUUGGGAGGCGUUACCAACAGAAUAAGCACUGGCUAACUUCGUGCCAGCAGCCGCGGUAAUUC
This 407-nucleotide ribosomal RNA is filed under the name uncultured bacterium. RNAcentral describes it as "partial 16S ribosomal RNA". It matches the Rfam family "Bacterial small subunit ribosomal RNA", at positions 30 to 526 of the family's 1533-position model. The record is from RNAcentral.